AGCUGGUCCAAUGGUAGCGGGUUAUCAGAACUUACUAAUAUGCGUGUCACUAAAGUUGGUACACAACCCCCAUUCCUAAAUUUGACUGGCUUUAA
This 95-nucleotide Y RNA is filed under the name Carlito syrichta (Philippine tarsier). RNAcentral's name for it is "Y RNA (ENSTSYG00000035771.1)". It matches the Rfam family "Y RNA". Rfam says of the family: Y RNAs are components of the Ro ribonucleoprotein particle (Ro RNP), in association with Ro60 and La proteins. The Y RNAs and Ro60 and La proteins are well conserved, but the function of the Ro RNP is not known. The record is from Rfam by way of RNAcentral. Lineage: Eukaryota; Metazoa; Chordata; Mammalia; Primates; Tarsiidae.